AAAUUGAAGAGUUUGAUCAUGGCUCAGAUUGAACGCUGGCGGCAGGCCUAACACAUGCAAGUCGAACGGUAACAGAAAGCAGCUUGCUGCUUUGCUGACGAGUGGCGGACGGGUGAGUAAUGUCUGGGAAACUGCCUGAUGGAGGGGGAUAACUACUGGAAACGGUAGCUAAUACCGCAUAACGUCGCAAGACCAAAGAGGGGGACCUUCGGGCCUCUUGCCAUCGGAUGUGCCCAGAUGGGAUUAGCUUGUUGGUGGGGUAACGGCUCACCAAGGCGACGAUCUCUAGCUGGUCUGAGAGGAUGACCAGCCACACUGGAACUGAGACACGGUCCAGACUCCUACGGGAGGCAGCAGUGGGGAAUAUUGCACAAUGGGCGCAAGCCUGAUGCAGCCAUGCCGCGUGUAUGAAGAAGGCCUUCGGGUUGUAAAGUACUUUCAGCGGGGAGGAAGGGAGUAAAGUUAAUACCUUUGCUCAUUGACGUUACCCGCAGAAGAAGCACCGGCUAACUCCGUGCCAGCAGCCGCGGUAAUACGGAGGGUGCAAGCGUUAAUCGGAAUUACUGGGCGUAAAGCGCACGCAGGCGGUUUGUUAAGUCAGAUGUGAAAUCCCCGGGCUCAACCUGGGAACUGCAUCUGAUACUGGCAAGCUUGAGUCUCGUAGAGGGGGGUAGAAUUCCAGGUGUAGCGGUGAAAUGCGUAGAGAUCUGGAGGAAUACCGGUGGCGAAGGCGGCCCCCUGGACGAAGACUGACGCUCAGGUGCGAAAGCGUGGGGAGCAAACAGGAUUAGAUACCCUGGUAGUCCACGCCGUAAACGAUGUCGACUUGGAGGUUGUGCCCUUGAGGCGUGGCUUCCGGAGCUAACGCGUUAAGUCGACCGCCUGGGGAGUACGGCCGCAAGGUUAAAACUCAAAUGAAUUGACGGGGGCCCGCACAAGCGGUGGAGCAUGUGGUUUAAUUCGAUGCAACGCGAAGAACCUUACCUGGUCUUGACAUCCACGGAAGUUUUCAGAGAUGAGAAUGUGCCUUCGGGAACCGUGAGACAGGUGCUGCAUGGCUGUCGUCAGCUCGUGUUGUGAAAUGUUGGGUUAAGUCCCGCAACGAGCGCAACCCUUAUCCUUUGUUGCCAGCGGUCCGGCCGGGAACUCAAAGGAGACUGCCAGUGAUAAACUGGAGGAAGGUGGGGAUGACGUCAAGUCAUCAUGGCCCUUACGACCAGGGCUACACACGUGCUACAAUGGCGCAUACAAAGAGAAGCGACCUCGCGAGAGCAAGCGGACCUCAUAAAGUGCGUCGUAGUCCGGAUUGGAGUCUGCAACUCGACUCCAUGAAGUCGGAAUCGCUAGUAAUCGUGGAUCAGAAUGCCACGGUGAAUACGUUCCCGGGCCUUGUACACACCGCCCGUCACACCAUGGGAGUGGGUUGCAAAAGAAGUAGGUAGCUUAACCUUCGGGAGGGCGCUUACCACUUUGUGAUUCAUGACUGGGGUGAAGUCGUAACAAGGUAACCGUAGGGGAACCUGCGGUUGGAUCACCUCCUUACCUUAAAGAAGC
This 1554-nucleotide ribosomal RNA is filed under the name Escherichia coli. Its description in RNAcentral is "bacterial SSU rRNA". It matches the Rfam family "Bacterial small subunit ribosomal RNA". Lineage: Bacteria; Pseudomonadati; Pseudomonadota; Gammaproteobacteria; Enterobacterales; Enterobacteriaceae. The record is from RNAcentral.